GAGUCUCCACUUCCUCAUGUGCUGGAUGGAGAAGAGCAGAACGAGAGCCUGAAGGAGGCCGUCUGCACCUGCUCAUUCCAGAACCCAGGCUUCUCAACUGACGCCAAGGAACACCCGCUGUUAGGUGAUGAGGACACUGAGAGCUGACAUGUGACCCAGGACUCAGAGCCAGGCUCAGGAAGUGAGCUGGGAAAUGCCAGCAGAGGUCCAAGAAGAAGCAUGCUGCCCUCCAUCUGUGGGGCUGCUUCUGCCCUCAGUGGCCAGGGACCCUGUCCACUCCCAACCCCAGGGGUACACAGCAGCAGAAACUGGAAUGGGAAUAGGGAGAGGGGACCAUCUCCUCCAAUUCCCUCAUUUUA
Balaenoptera acutorostrata (minke whale) is the source of this 359-nucleotide long non-coding RNA. RefSeq lists it as uncharacterized. NCBI's taxonomy places the organism in Eukaryota, Metazoa, Chordata, Mammalia, Artiodactyla, Balaenopteridae. The record is from RefSeq and is a predicted model, not a curated record. The transcript is spliced from 3 exons.